CUCACACAACGGCCUCAAGAAGGGAGGCAGCGGGGGAGUCACGGAAGGAGGGCUCAGUCAAAGAAAGGACACAUCUGAGCAGAGGGAUGGCCUCGCAGCCCAGUUCCAGGAUGGCUGAGGGCUCCAUACUCCAGGGCUGGAGCUGGGGAAAGCACACACACCACUUUACACACACACCACCCUCCACCACUCUCCACACACCACCCUCCACACACACCACGCUCCACACACACCGCCCUCCACACACACCACCCUCCACACACACCACCCUCCACACACACCACCCUCCACACACCACCCUCCACACACACCACCCUCCCACACACCGCCCUCCACACACACCAUGCUCCACACACACCGCCCUCCACACACACCGCCCUCCACACACACCAUCC
This 395-nucleotide long non-coding RNA is filed under the name Homo sapiens (human). RNAcentral's name for it is "HSALNT0130868". The record is from RNAcentral. Lineage: Eukaryota; Metazoa; Chordata; Mammalia; Primates; Hominidae.